This 73-nucleotide transfer RNA is filed under the name Allocoprococcus comes. Its description in RNAcentral is "Coprococcus comes tRNA-Val". It matches the Rfam family "tRNA". Rfam says of the family: Transfer RNA (tRNA) molecules are approximately 80 nucleotides in length. Their secondary structure includes four short double-helical elements and three loops (D, anti-codon, and T loops). The record is from RNAcentral. Lineage: Bacteria; Bacillati; Bacillota; Clostridia; Lachnospirales; Lachnospiraceae.
GGGAUCAUAGCUCAGCUGGGAGAGCAUCUGCCUUACAAGCAGAGGGUCAUAGGUUCGAGCACUAUUGGUCCCA